Molecule: ribosomal RNA, 1420 nt
Filed under: Lactiplantibacillus plantarum
Lineage: Bacteria; Bacillati; Bacillota; Bacilli; Lactobacillales; Lactobacillaceae
Description: bacterial SSU rRNA
Rfam family: Bacterial small subunit ribosomal RNA
Source: RNAcentral
AUCCGGAAUGGGCCAUUGGGGAGUAAAAACGGGGGAAAACUGCCCAGAAGCGGGGGAUAACACCUGGGAAACAAAAGGUUAAAAUCGGCAAUACCAAUUGGGCCCGGGAUGGUUCGAGGUUGAAAGAAUGGUUUCGGCUAUCACUUUUGGAUGGUCCCGCGGCGUAUUAGCUAGAUGGUGGGGUAACGGCUCACCAUGGCAAUGAUACGUAGCCGACCUGAGAGGGUAAUCGGCCACAUUGGGACUGAGACACGGCCCAAACUCCUACGGGAGGCAGCAGUAGGGAAUUUUCCACAAUGGACGAAAGUUUGAUGGAGCAACGCCGCGUGAGUGAAGAAGGGUUUCGGUCGUAAAAUUCUGUUGUUAAAGAAGAACAUAUCUGAGAGUAACUGUUCAGGUAUUGACGGUAUUUAACCAGAAAGCCACGGCUAAAUACGUGCCAGCAGCCGCGGUAAUACGUAGGUGGCAAGCGUUGUCCGGAUUUAUUGGGCGUAAAGCGAGCGCAGGCGGUUUUUUAAGUCUGAUGUGAAAGCCUUCGGCUCAACCGAAGAAGUGCAUCGGAAACUGGGAAACUUGAGUGCAGAAGAGGACAGUGGAACUCCAUGUGUAGCGGUGAAAUGCGUAGAUAUAUGGAAGAACACCAGUGGCGAAGGCGGCUGUCUGGUCUGUAACUGACGCUGAGGCUCGAAAGUAUGGGUAGCAAACAGGAUUAGAUACCCUGGUAGUCCAUACCGUAAACGAUGAAUGCUAAGUGUUGGAGGGUUUCCGCCCUUCAGUGCUGCAGCUAACGCAUUAAGCAUUCCGCCUGGGGAGUACGGCCGCAAGGCUGAAACUCAAAGGAAUUGACGGGGGCCCGCACAAGCGGUGGAGCAUGUGGUUUAAUUCGAAGCUACGCGAAGAACCUUACCAGGUCUUGACAUACUAUGCAAAUUUAAGAGAUUAGACGUUCCCUUCGGGGACAUGGAUACAGGUGGUGCAUGGUUGUCGUCAGCUCGUGUCGUGAGAUGUUGGGUUAAGUCCCGCAACGAGCGCAACCCUUAUUAUCAGUUGCCAGCAUUAAGUUGGGCACUCUGGUGAGACUGCCGGUGACAAACCGGAGGAAGGUGGGGAUGACGUCAAAUCAUCAUGCCCCUUAUGACCUGGGCUACACACGUGCUACAAUGGAUGGUACAACGAGUUGCGAACUCGCGAGAGUAAGCUAAUCUCUUAAAGCCAUUCUCAGUUCGGAUUGUAGGCUGCAACUCGCCUACAUGAAGUCGGAAUCGCUAGUAAUCGCGGAUCAGCAUGCCGCGGUGAAUACGUUCCCGGGCCUUGUACACACCGCCCGUCACACCAUGAGAGUUUGUAACACCCAAAGUCGGUGGGGUAACCUUUUAGGAACCAGCCGCCUAAGGUGGAGACUAGAUCAUUAGGGGAUCGU